AUAUCAUAAGCGGAGGAAAAGAAAAUAACAAUGAUACCCUUAGUAGCGGCGAGCGAAGUGGGUAAAGCUCAAGUUUAAAACCUGUUUGUCCUAGACAAACCGGAUUGUAAACUAAGGACGUGCUAUCCAGGCUCUUUGGACCUUCAAGUCCUUUGGAAUAAGGCUUCACAGAGGGUGACAAUCCCGUAGAGGGUCUUGAAAGAGUCUAUUGCGAUGCAUGCUCCAAGAGUCAGGUUGUUUGGGAAUGCAGCCUAAAGUGGGAGGUAAAUCCCUCCUAAAGCUAAAUAUUGGCGAGAGACCGAUAGCAAACAAGUACCGUGAGGGAAAGUUGAAAAGGACUUUGAAAAGAGAGUCAAAAGUACGUGAAAUUGCUUAAAGGGAAGCGUUUGGAGCUAGUUUGGCUAGUCUGUUAUCAGCCUGAGCUUCGGCUUUGGUGUACUAUCAGGCUAUUUGCCGGCCAACUUUCAGGAUUGGAAGGAAAGCUUAGUGCUUUGGAGUCUAAAGAGACCUUUGCGGAAGCCUCUGGUGGAGCGUUGGUCUGCCUUGGCCCUUCUGAACCUAUAGUUGGCUUAAUGGCUCUAAACGGCCCGUCUUGAAACACGGACCAAGGAGUCCACCACUGUUGCGAGUGUUUGGGUGGCAAACCCAUACGCGAAAUGAAAGUGAAAGCUAUGAAAUCGCAAGAUGGCAAUAGCAUCCGGCCUUUAGGACUGAGAUAAAGCAAUAGUGAUGGGACCCGAAAGAUGGUGAACUAUGCUUGAGUAGAGUGAAGCCAGAAAGUUUCUGGUGGAAGCUCGUAACGGUUCUGACGUGCAAAUCGAUCGUCGGAACUUGGAGCAUAGGGCGAAAGACUAAUCG
This 858-nucleotide ribosomal RNA is filed under the name Rhizomucor pusillus. Its description in RNAcentral is "LSU rRNA". It matches the Rfam family "Eukaryotic large subunit ribosomal RNA", at positions 40 to 937 of the family's 3401-position model. Lineage: Eukaryota; Fungi; Mucoromycota; Mucoromycetes; Mucorales; Lichtheimiaceae. The record is from RNAcentral.